Molecule: RNA transcript, 3947 nt
Organism: Mangifera indica (mango)
Lineage: Eukaryota; Viridiplantae; Streptophyta; Magnoliopsida; Sapindales; Anacardiaceae
Gene name: probable splicing factor 3A subunit 1
Exons: 4
Source: RefSeq, a predicted model, not a curated record
UUUUUGUUUUAAUAACGUAGAUUAUGUAUAGAGGGUUUCCGUGAGAAGGAAAAGGGAAAUCCUCAUUAUCUCCGUCACAGAAAUCAGUCGGUGACGACGGAGAACAUGAUAUUCGAUUCCACCCCUAGCAUUGCCAUCCCUAGAGAAAACCAUCAAAUCCAAUUCUAAAGUAAUUUCGUUAUUUUCCUUUUUCACGCUUUUUCCAGAACACCGCCAUCAUAUAAUCCUAAUUCCUCUCAACAUCGCUAUUCAAAAUUCUCAUCUACUUCUUCUCUUGCCUGUCUUAACCCUGCAUUAUUGACCCCUCUCUUCCUACCUCUCCUUCGACAGCAUAAGCAGAUCCACAUUAGUAAACCUAUUUUUUUCGACUUUCUGGUGUUUUGUUUUUGACCUGACGCCUAUUUCUUGCAAAAACCUAGGAAGAUCUUUCUGGGCUGAGGUAUGAUUUGGGAAAAACUCUAAAGAUCUUUCAUAUUACUACUAUAUGAAAUUGUUUUGAGAAUAUUUGCUGUUUAAAUUUGAAAAAAAAAAAAAAGUUUGUAGUUUCUUCUAGAAAAAAUGUUAGGUGCAUUGCCAAUUCUUCCUCUUCCUGAACCUCCUUCUGAUGGGGAUCUUGGCCCUCUUCCCCCAUCUCAAGUGACGGAGCAGAAGGAAGAGAAACCUUCAAAUGAGGAGCAGAGCAAAACUAACUCAGCUUCUGCAUCAGUUGCAACCCACACAAGAACAAUUGGAAUCAUACAUCCACCUCCAGAUAUCAGAAAUAUUGUUGAUAAAACUGCUCAAUUUGUUGCUAAGAAUGGACCUGAGUUUGAGAAGAGGAUUAUUGCCAACAAUGCAAACAAUGCAAAAUUCAAUUUUUUGAGUAGUGCGGAUCCUUACCAUGCAUAUUAUCAACAUCGGCUGGUCGAAUUUCGUGCACAGAAUCAAUCUUCUUCCCAGCAUGCUCCAUCUCAACCUGCAGAUACUUCUGUGCUCGAAUCAGCUCCAUCAGCUCCGGCUGCUGAUAGUAAGAGUGCUGAAGCAAAGCCAGAUACUGUUGCCCAGUUUAAGCUACCCAUACGAAAAGUUCUUGAGCCCCCAGAAGCAGAGCAGUAUACUGUGCGGCUUCCUGAAGGGAUUACUGGUGAAGAACUGGAUAUCAUUAAGCUCACAGCCCAGUUUGUAGCUCGUAAUGGAAAAUCAUUCUUGACAGGAUUGACUAGUAGGGAGAUCAAUAACCCGCAGUUCCAUUUUCUGAAGCCAACACACAGUAUGUUUACAUUUUUCACUCAACUUGCUGAUGCAUAUUCAAAAGUCUUGAUGCCUCCGAAGGGGUUGACUGAGAAAUUGAAGAAGAGUGUUGCUGACAUGACAAUGGUCCUUGAACGAUGCUUGCAUCGUCUGGAAUGGGAGCGUUCACAGAAGCAAGCAAGGCAGAAGGCGGAAGAUGAGAUUGAGCAGGAGAGGAUGCAAAUGGCUAUGAUUGAUUGGCAUGAUUUUGUUGUUGUUGAGACAAUAGACUUUGCGGAUGAUGAGGAUGACGACCUACCUGCUCCUAUGACUCUUGAGGAGGUUAUAAGAAGGAGUAAGGUAUCUCCUAUGGAAGAAGAUGAUAUUCCUGAACCUGGAAAAGAGGUAGAAAUGGAAAUGGAUGAAGAAGAGGUGCAGCUUGUUGAAGAGGGCAUCAGGGCUGCUAGUCUCGAGGAGAAUGAUGAUGAAAAGAAAGCGACCAAGGCAAAUGAGGAACCAGAACCGCCAAUGAGAAUUGUGAAGAACUGGAAGAGACCUGAGGAGAGGAUCCCCGCAGAAAGAGAUCCAACAAAGUAUGUUGUUUCUCCCAUUACUGGUGAGCUCAUUCCUAUUAAUGAGAUGUCUGAACACAUGAGAAUUUCCCUUAUUGAUCCAAAGUACAAGGAGCAAAAAGAAAGGAUGUUUGCUAAGAUUCGAGAGACAACUCUUGCUCAGGAUGAUGAGAUCUCGAGAAAUAUUGUGGGACUGGCACGGACACGUCCUGAUAUCUUUGGUACCACAGAGGAAGAAGUUUCUAAUGCAGUCAAGGCCGAGAUUGAGAAGAAAGAUGAACAACCAAAGCAGGUCAUAUGGGAUGGUCAUACUGGAAGCAUUGGGCGAACAGCAAAUCAAGCCAUGUCUCAAAAUAUGAAUGGAGAUGAUCUAAAUGAUGCUGCCAACAGUGACUUCAGAAACCUACCUGGUCCUGCAGCUCCUCCUCCUCGAUCUGGUUUUCCUUCUUUGCGUCCUCUCCCCCCACCAGCAGGACUUGCCUUGAAUCUUCCACAUGGGCCUUCAAACACAAUCCAAUACCCACCUCCAACUAGUGGUGCUAUGCCAGUACCUCAACCAAGGCCAUAUACCAUGCAGGUGAUUCCAUCAAUCCGCCCAUCCACUCCUUCAAUGCCAUUGACAGGACAGCAACACGUCAUGUUGAGUCGUCCACCACCACUGCCUCCAUCAAUUUCUGUGAAUCCAUCUGGUGUGCCUGUACCUCCCCCACCUGGAUCCCAGUUUAUGCCCAUGCCAGUUCCCCAACCUUAUGCCCAUCUCCCAGUCCCUCCUCCUCCUUCCAUGCCUAUGAUGCAGCCGCCACCUUUGCCUCAAGGAAUGCCUCCUCCGCCACCACCAGAAGCUCCUCCUCCACUUCCUGAUGAACCAGAGCCAAAGAGGCAGAAGCUUGAUGAUUCUAUGCUUAUUCCUGAAGAUCAAUUUCUGGCCCAACAUCUUGGACCUGUUCGCAUCAAUGUGUCUGUUCCUAAUGUUGAUGAAGGAAAUCUCAGAGGACAAGUCCUGGAGAUUACGUUACAGUCUUUAUCUGAAACUGUUGGCAGCUUGAAGGAGAAAAUUUCUGGGGAGAUACAACUUCCUGCAAACAAGCAGAAAUUGAGUGGAAAAGCUGGUUUCCUUAAGGACAAUAUGUCGCUGGCAUAUUAUAAUGUUGGAGCAGGGGAAGCACUUGCCCUUUCUUUGAGAGAACGUGGUGGUAGAAAGAGAUAAUGGGUUCUUAACAGGGCUUUUUAUAAGGUUUUUGUUGGAUUUUCCUUGUUACCAUUAGAGUUUUACAAUUUCCCCAUAUUAUGGCUGGAGUCUUAUUAUAUUUAACCUUUUUUUAUGUUAUACGUUGGAGAUUAUGUUGUCAUUUACCUUUAGGGUAACUAUUUGGGACCUCUUAUUGGAGUUUAUGAAACUGAUGAUAAAUUUGAUAUCUGCUACAGAUCCAGCUUCUUGGCACGUCUCCCAGGUGCAAUGAAAAAUAAAGGAGUUCGUUUUGCUUAUCCUGAGCCAGUCUUCUACUUAUUCUACUAUUUAAUUGCUUGCUUUUGCAUCUUAAUUAAAUUCUCAUGAGAUUCUAUUCAAGUCAUAUCAUUGUCUACACUAUCCAUUAGUAGGAUUGUCUCAGUGUUGAACAUACUCAGAAAUAUUAUUUCCUGAGUCUAUUUCUAAUUCUAUUAUUGCAAGUCUUGAUCCUGUACAAUACAGUGAUUUAAAGGCCUUUUAUUGUUUUUCUUUUUGUGCUAGAAUUCAUGCAUUGUUUGUAGGAACCUUGGGUUGCACCUGGAUGUGAUGAGUAGAAGGUUUAUUUUAGUUUGUGCCAAGAAUACAAACUUUUAUAUGAAGCUACUUGUUUGGACACUGCAAUGGUGUAUGCAAGUUAUCAGGUUUAUGACAGACAGAUUGAGUUUUGUUGCUUUCCGUCCUGGUUGCCGAAGGUACUGGCUUGCAUAUAUGACAAAUUGGUGAAGCAGUUCCAUAGAUUUGUCACUUUCUUGUUCUUUGCGGCAUUGAGGAAGUGUUGUUUCAACUUGGAGGCAGCCUCAAGUGAUCUCUGUUUUCUUCCUUCCAUUGGGUUUUUUUUCAUUUUUUGGUUUAAGAAUAUGCGUGCUGCUGUUUUAUAAACUUAAUUUGAGCAGACCAAGUGAAGAGAAUUUUGUAUUUGUGAGUUUAAGUUUUUGAGA